RNAcentral lists this transfer RNA (61 nucleotides) under Cyclograpsus intermedius. Its description in RNAcentral is "tRNA-His". Lineage: Eukaryota; Metazoa; Arthropoda; Malacostraca; Decapoda; Varunidae. The record is from RNAcentral.
ACUUUAAAUAAAAAAAAUAAAUAGUUUAAAUAAAAUGUUAGCUUGUGGCGCUUAAGAUGUA